Infundibulicybe gibba is the source of this 84-nucleotide non-coding RNA. The record is from the annotation of a GenBank genome assembly. NCBI's taxonomy places the organism in Eukaryota, Fungi, Basidiomycota, Agaricomycetes, Agaricales, Omphalinaceae.
GCAUUAAUGGGGUAGUGGUAACCUGGGUCGUUGCCAUUUGAGCACUAGCUCGACCCGCCGGGGGUUCGAUUCCCUCUUAAUGCA